RNAcentral lists this long non-coding RNA (41564 nucleotides) under Lathyrus oleraceus (garden pea). RNAcentral describes it as "Pisum sativum (pea) long non-coding RNA (PSAT_LNC002164)". The record is from RNAcentral. Lineage: Eukaryota; Viridiplantae; Streptophyta; Magnoliopsida; Fabales; Fabaceae.
UCCUGCUUGGAAAUUAAAUGAUGAUUUGGCAUGGCUUUCACAUGACUUUGGUGCGAUUCGUUCGGAGGCAAAAUGUUGCGGCAUUGGAUUUGUUGUGAUGUUCGAUUUCAAUCUGGUCUAGGAAUCCCAAGGAAUACAAAUGAUAAGCUUUUUCUUCUUUGUUCAUGCCAUCUUAGUACAUCGAGACUUGGUGAAUUUACGCAGAACUCGUUACGUUUGAUGCUGCAUGAGGACAUGCUGAGUUUGUGGGCGUAAAGUUUCAUGGUAUUCAUUAGGAGGAGUUCGUAUGGUUAUGAAUGACUUUGAGUUGGUGUGUGUGUAGUUUGUUAUUGUAGCAUGACUUGUGAUGGAGAAGUAUGAGGUGGUUUGAGUGAAGAUAUAACGUAUGGGUUUAUGAAGAUAUGGAGUUUUUAAGAGAUCAAAUGGGAGGUGUUUGUAAUGGUGGUUUAUACAUAUGAGAUAAAUAGUGGAUAUGAAUGAGGAAAUAAUAUGCAGGUCAUUUUUUGAGGUGAAAAAGGGAGUACAGUGAGAUUAUAUUGAAGAAAAAGAACAGAAUUGUUAUGCGUGUUGUGUUGAAGUUGAGAUUUAUGAAGUGUGUUUAGUUCCACAUGGUAUACAUGAAGGUGAUGGCGGUGUUGGGGAAGAAUAUGCAGCCAAGGAUUGUGCUUUGAGCUUCAAAAGCAUCUGUUUUCUGGCGUGCUAGCUGAAUUCGCAAUUGACGAUUCUCAUUUUGCAACUCAAGUAUUAGUUGCGCCUGGUAUGUUUCUGUUUUAGGUACCAGUAAUAGAUCCUCGUUUGCAUCAGGUGCCUUUGUUCGAAUCUCCUUGGCUUUAUCAGCCCAAUGAAGGGUGUUUUGAGUUUCACCGAAUGAAAGGAUACUUGGGCUUAUGUUUGCAAUCAUGACAGUGUUGCAAGUUCCUCCUAAUGCAUCUUUGAGGCUGUAACACUGUCGCCAAUACUUAGCAUCAUAAUCUCUAGUAAGACUCUCCUUUUGAAGAGAUUUGUCUUCUGCAAUGAAAAAUUCACCAUAAGGAUCAUCUAUUACUCCUUCAUAGACCCAUAUUUCGAGUAUGCUCAUGUAGGCUCUACUUGCACAUUGUCAUUUUCUCCAGCAACAACCUGACUGCAUUGUCUCCAGCCAUAGCCUUUGCCUGACUCUGCAAUAAGUUAAGAAUGGCAGAAACAGAAAAAUUAUUGGUUGAAGCCUUCUGUAUAACAGUAGACAAUGCCUGCAUUGACCUCAACAUGGGCUGACAGUAGAACCAUAAUCCUUGAAGGGAAAGUCUCCCAAGCCGGAAUUGGUGCUCAAGUUGUGCCACGAAGGCCUGGUAAUCGAGAAGGAAUUCCCUAAGGGCGGAAAAAAAGGCAUGAUUAACUAGCCCAUUCUGGAACUGAGACCUUGAUUCCAUAAAUUGGUUGAUCAACAGAAAUCUCCUACAAAUAGGGAAAAUCCAUUUUGCCAACUCCUGCAGUGUCAAAUCCAUAGAUGGGUCCACCAGGAAAUUAAUAAUUUCAUCCUUCUUUCCACGAAGUGUUUUGAUUGAAAUGUAACGUCCUUCAACCCCAACCAUAGCAGAGAGCACUUCAUCAAUAACAAUAAUCUCUUGUUAUGAGGCUCAUAAUAGCCGAUAAGAUUUUCAAAUCCUGCGGCGGUUUGUCCAAUGGUUCGACAGCAGCACCACAAGCCAGGCGUGUUCACACUCAGCUCAGAAUCUUGAACUAGACCAAAUGGUCUAGCUUUAAUCAACCAAUCUUUCAGAGACUCGUAGACAGCAAAGUUGAGACCAACAUAAGGAACAACUCCAAUUACUGAAGGAAGCCAAUCCUUAUAUAAAGCACGUGGAACUUCUUGCCUAAGCACAGUAGUCAAAGCAUGGAACAUUCCUCGGUACUGAUAAGGGGAUAUCUCGAUCUGUACAGUUAUCCUGCCUCGGACCAUAUCCAUUGGAUAAGUUGCAGACAUAGCAAUUAUUCCAGCACAUGCUCCAGCUACUGCAGUAUAUCCAUCAAAUAAUUUACAAAAGAUUGUUGCCUAAGAGAAUCACAAGCUUGAAGCAGCUGUGAUGCAAAGUCGUUCUUCUCUUGAUCAUCAACUGAAGUCUUGGAAGUGGAUGAAGAAAGUUGGGUUACAUUUUUAUCAUGAACAUUAAUAGUUCCACUGUGUCUUAGCAUGGAACCGUCACUACCGGGCUGAUGCCAAUUUCUAAGCAUCAAUGUGAAAAACAUGAAGACUAGGAUCGCAACUUCCCCAAGAAUCUCAUCCGACACACCGUUAAAAUUGUUGUCGAAAAACCAACAGUUCUUCAUAUUAGCAUUAUCCGGAACUGAACUGGAAGUUUAAACGGCGGUGGCGGUAGAGUGAAUGAUGAAGAGAUGAGGAAGCACUUAUCUACUGCUGCACUUGAUGGAUGAUGUUGAACUAUUUUCUCUAUGAAUGUCAAGAGCCAUUUGACAGAGUUUCUCUGCUUCAUUAAAUUGCAAAGCUUGAACAUUAGAUUCAAAUUCAAAUUCUCUCUGAUUCUUAGUGAUUUUUCUUUUCACUGCAGCUUGACUAGUAUGUUCUAAUGUUGCCUUAUAUUGUUCCAUAGGUGCUCUUUCCCAUUAUCUCAACAGUUGUACACAACAGAUCGUCGGCCAUGAAAGCGAACGGUCCAUCACAAUGUACUAGUUUGCCUCCCGCCUCAACGUCCGCUUCGACUUCUCCGCCGAUAGGAGAGACUCCUUUUCCUGUCCUUGCAGAAGUCGCUGCUGAUCUCGCAGUAACGUGCCCCUCCUCGUCAUUCGAUGUUUUUCUCUUCCGGAACAGGCAGAAGAACAGAAUACAGCACACUGUUAUCAGGACUACAAAUAACACUCUUGUUACAAUGAGGAUUAUGUCUUUAGCCCCGAGUUUCUUAUGAUGACGAUGUUUCGAUACUUCAGAAGGUGCACCUUCUCUUUUUCUACACAGUAUGCAACAAUGAUAUUGCAUGCUUCAACAUUUAAUGUGGCAAGCUUCUGCAAACCUCUUAAGUAAGAAAUCCCAAGAUCAGUAAUAUUGUUGUUGGAAAUUUGCAACUCCUUUAAAUUAAUAAAACCUGAGAUAGCCUUCAUGUCGGAAUCCGUAAUACAUUUACAGCAUCCGAUAUUAAGAGACUCGAGCUUUUUCAGACCUUUAAAAUGAACAAAUUCGCCAUGAAUAUAUGAACACCUCUCAAGGUCCAACUUCUCCCAAUUAAUUAAGUUGGAAAAUGCUCGCAUUCCAUCCGGUGUGACAGCACAGCUCUUCCUGAUGCUCAAUGAAGCCAAGUUUGAUAGACCAUUGAUGUGUUUGAGUCCGUGUUCAGAAAAUUGAUCACAGUAAUUAAGGGUCAAUGCUUGAAUAUUUGAGCAAUUCUUUAAGAGUCGCAGUCCACUGUCGGUCACAUUAGAGCCAGAAACAUCAACAGCAAGUAAAGAAGACCCUUGUGAAGCAAUGACGUUCAUCCAAUCAUCAUUCACUCCAAGAUAUUCUCUCAAGUAAACAUCCUCAAGAGCACAAUCACGAAAAGCAUUAAGAGAUGCUUCUGUAAGACAAUGAGAAUCCACCAAUUCAUUGAAGAUCUGCUGGCUUAUGUGUCUUGGUAGAAUUGAAAACAUAUGGUAUUUAUGAAAAUCCUCACGCAUCUUAUUUAUGCAUAAAUCCAUAAGAGGGGAAAAAGUACCCACUCCAAGAAAAUGAUUUGUCCUAGAACGUAAACUUCUUUCUCUUAACCAUUUUGUGAUUGCACUUCUACAGUACCUUCCAGAUACUCCCCUGUGUAAAUCAUCUUCUAUAACUUGUCUCUUCCUAGAACAGAUUCCACCCAUGACUUAACUUUUUUACAAUACUGACACUUGAUUAUUAAUGCAUGAAAAAUCAAAUUUCCAUUUGAGAACAAUAUUCUUAGGGAUUGAACUGGUGAUGCAUGACAUGUGGCGGUACUUGUUAUUGGGGAAGAGUGAGAAGAGGGAGCUUUACAGUUUCAGCAUUUGAGUUUAAUUCAGGUAGUUGAGCUAUAAAUAAUAUAAAUGAAUCAACCAUUUGUUGGAGUGUCAAAAACCCACUGAAGUUGUAUUGCAUUGUUGGUAUAGCAUUAAACACCAAGUUCCAAGUCAUCUUCAUUUGUAAUUUUAGUAAAAAGAAACAUUGGAAUUGAUUUUAAUGUGAACAGUGGAGUUGAUUUUUAAUUAAAAGAGCAAUGGGAUUGAUUUUUAAUUAAAGAACAUUAGAAUUGAUUUUUAAUAUGAACAGUCCUGGAAGCCUUGAUGGUAGUAUUACUGCCUGUCCAGACAAAUCCUUAUCGAGGUCUGGAAUUUGUUUAUACCACAAACUUAUCACCUGAGACCGAUAAUGAUUCCCCAAAAGUUCCAAAGGGAAGUGUUAUGCGAUUAACAACUCUCCAUUCUUAGUAUUCAAUUCAUAAACGUAAAACAUUGAAGAGCCAACAAAGGCAGCUACAAAAAUCACUUCAAGAGACUGAACAAUAUGGUUAAAUUCAAUGUUGUCAUUGGAAAGAUCUUUCCUCCAGAGAAUUUCACCGCCUAUGCUAGAAAUAGCAUGGAGAUGCCCUUUACCAUAAACAAAAAUCAAAUCAUCUUUGUCAGCUUUCAAAAAAUUUGGAAUGUUUAAUAUUGACUUUGAUUCCUUUGAUCCCUGAAGGUGAGAGAACCCUAAUCGUUGUGGCGAUGGCGAUUCAGCCGCACAGAAGGAUUUGAAGAGUGAGUGAGUGAUUGGGAAAAGUUUUUCAGGGCCGAAAUCAGGGUAUGACAGGAAGAGAUAACAUUCAAUAAUAUCGGAGGAACAUGAAUCUUAUCUGCAUAUAUUUGACACUUGAGGCAUUUCUUCACAAACUUCCAACAGUCAUAUUCCAUUGUCAGCCAAUAGUAACCUGCUCGCAACAUCUUCUUUUCCAUUGCAUGUCCAUUGGAAUGAGUACCAAAGGAACCUUCAUGCACUUCAGUCAACAAUAAGUCUGCUUCGUGUCUAUCCACGCAUCUGAGCAAAACCAUGUCGAAGUUUCUCUUGUACAGUAUAUCACCAUUCAAGUAGAAAUUACUGGUUAAUCUUCUCAAAGUCUUCUUAUCUUUCAAAGAUGCCCCAGACGGGUAAAUCUGACUUUGGAGGAAACAUUUAAUGUCGUAAUACCACGGCUUCUCAUCUUUUAUUUCUUCAACAGCAAACACAUGGGCUGGCCUAUCAAGACGCAUCACAUACAAGUUGGGAACUUCAUUCCAAUACUUCACUACAAUCAUAGACGCCAACGUUGCAAGAGCAUCUGCCAUCCGGUUUUCAUCUCGAGGGAUAUGAUGAAACUCAAAUUUUGUAAAGGAAGUUGAAAUCCUCCUCGCAUAAUCUCUAUACGGUACCAAACCAGGUUGGUUCGUCUCCCAAUCACCUUUGAUCGGAUUCACAACCAAAGCGGAAUCUCCAAAGACAUCUAAAUACUUGAUUCUGAGAUUCAUGGCCUCUUCAAGCCCCAUAAUGCAAGCUUCAUAUUCUGCCAUAUUGUUUGUACACUUGAAAGUCAAUCUAGUUGUAAAUGGUAGAUGCGUUCCUUAAGGAGUAAUGAUCACUGCCCCAAUGCCAUUUCCAUAUUGAUUAACAGCUCCAUCAAAUACCAUGCCCCAACAGGAACCAGGUUCUGGCCCUUCUUCAAGCAAUGGUUCAUCACAAUCUUUCAUUUUCAUCAACAUAUAUUGACGCAGACGCUUAGCAGCCCAAGCCAAUGCGCAACAAGUCUUCUCAAGCAUAGAAUACCGAGUCUCACAGUCGGUGAACUUCUUACUGAGGUAGUAAAUUGCAAAUUCUUUCUUCCCAAUCUCAUCUUGCUGACAUAGAACGCAACCCAUACUGUCUUCAAGCACAGUCAAAUACAUGAUCAAUGGUCUUCCUUCACGGGUGGAGACAAAAUCGGAGGCUCAAGCAGAUACUCUUUGAUACUGUCAAAAGCUUUCUGGAAUUCUUCGGUCCAAUCACAAGACUGGUCUUUCCAAAGAAGCUUGAAUAUAGGUGCACAUGUGGCAGUCAUGUGGGAAAUUAAUUUGGAGAUAUAAUUCAAGCGGCCGAGAAAACCUCUGACUUGCUUCUCGAUUUUGGGCGCAGGCAUCUCUUGUAUUGCUUUGACCUUGGCAGGAUCAACUUCAAUACCUUUCUCGCUGACAAUAAAGCCCAACAACUUACCAGAACGAACACCAAAAGUACACUUAUUGGGAUUCAAGACAGGAUCAACUUCAAUACCUUUCUCGCUGACAAUAAAGCCCAACAACUUACCAGAACGAACACCAAAAGUACACUUAUUGGGAUUCAAGCGGAGUUUAUAUUUCCUCAAACGCUGGAAUAGCUUCAAUAAAUUCUCAACAUGUUCCUUUUCAUCAAUUGAUUUAGCAAUCAUGUCAUCGACAUAUACUUCAAUCUCUUUAUGCAUCAUAUCAUGAAAAAGAGUAACCAUUGCUCUUUGGUAAGUUGCACCAGCAUUCUUUAAACCGAAAGGCAUCACUCUAUAACAGAAUGUUCCCCAAGGUAUAAUGAAUAUGGUCUUCUCCAUAUCUUUGGGUGCCAUCUUGAUCUGAUUAUAUCUGGAAAAUCCAUCCAUAAAAGAAAAGACUUUGAAUUUAGCAGUAUUGUCUACCAACAUAUCAAUGUGUUCCAGAGGGAAAUCAUCUUCCAGACUGGCUUUAUUCAAAUCUCUAUAAUCAACACACAUGCGGACUUUUCCAUCUUUCUUCGGCACAGGCACAAUAUUAGCCACCCAUUGCGGAUACUCAGCGGUCACAAGGAAACUAACGUCAAUUUGUUUCUUCACUUCUUCUUUGAUCUUCACAGCCAUAUCAGGAUGCGUUCUUCUCAACUUCUGCUUGACUGGCGGGCAUUCUGGCUUAAAUGGCAAUCUAUGCUCCACAAUCUCAGAAUCCAAACCAGGCAUGUCUUGAUAGGACCAAGCAAACACAUCUAAAUACUCUCGAAGAAGAUCAAUCAACCCUUUCUUGACAUCUGGACACAAUCGAGACCCAAUCUUGACUUCCUUCACAUCAUCCUCGGAACCCAAGUUGACUAACUCAACCUGCUCUUCGAACGGCUGAAUGGUCUUUUCAUCUUGCUCAAGAAGACGAGAUAAUUCAUCACUCACUUCUAUAUCACUUUCCUCCUCGGCUUCAAACACAGGGAAUUCAAAAUUUGGAGAAGGAGAAGGAUCAUUGUAUUCAAUGGGGUUAGGAACCAACCUGCAUAUAUAUCACUUUCCUCCUCGGCUUCAAACACAGGGAAUUCAAAAUUUGGAGAAGGAGAAGGAUCAUUGUAUUCAAUGGGGUUAGGAACCAACCUGCAUAAUGAUUUGAUAUUUUGAUUUUAGAGAAGUGGGUUUGUGACCAAAUAUUAUGCAGAUGGACAAUUAUAUAAUUUAUUUAUGUUUUUUGUGAUUUCCAUUUUCAAAAUAAAGCAAAAAGUAAAACCAAACAUCAUAGAUGUGGAUGAACAGAAUUAAUUUUAUUAAUGAUCAAUUUGAAAAUGCCCAACAAUGUUCUCUUCUCCCUUAGGCAUAGGAGAAGGAUUUUGAAAACAUAUAAAAGCAAUUACUUAGAUCGAUGCAAAAUAGCAGGAACAUCAACAGUGGUCCAAUUGUUGCAAGCCUUUCCAUGCAUCACAAAAUUGGUGCAGCAUUUCCAUGCAAGCAUUUCCAUGCUAAGUGUUGUUCGUUGCCAUGAAUGAACCCUCCGCUACGAAAGCUAAGUUGCAUAUCUUCAGACCUUGCGGUUGAUGAACCUUUCUGGAACCCCAAACCGGUUAUGCCUUUGUUGUCGGAGACCUCUACCAUGCGCCCCCACUGAUCAACAUUGCCUUCUUCUAUAAUCUUCUUGGCAUCUUUCAAUGAAGACAUAGGUGCCCCAACUCUCUUUUCAGCAGCAAUAGACAAGGCUUGGAACGGAGUUCCAACCUCAUCCUCAACUUUAACAUAAGAGAAAGAUGACAGGUGGCUAACCAACAUCUCCUUCUCCCCACCAACAAUCACAAGCUUUCCAUUCUUCACAAAUUUAAGUUUCUGAUGCGAAAUGGAGGUAACAGCUCCUGCCUCAUAGAUCCAUGGCCUUCCCAACAAGCAACUGUAGGCCGGGUGGAUAUACAUUACUUGAAAAGUAAUUUGAAAAUCACUCGGACCUAUCUUAACCGGAAGGUCCACUUCACCAAUAACUGUUUUGUGUGAACCAUCAAAAGCUUUGACGAUUACACCGCUAUACCUCAUAGGCGCUCCUUGGUAUGAUAGCUUUGACAGAGUUGACUUCGGCAGCACAUUCAGUGACGACCCGGUGUCAACAAGUACAUUUGACAAAGCAUCCUCUUUGUAAUUCAUAGAAAUGUGCAAAGCUAGAUUAUGAUUUCUUCCCUCCUCAGGGAGUUCUUCAUGACAAAAACUAAGAUUAUUGCAAGAAGUGAUGUUAGCCACGAUAUGAUCGAAUUGAUCCAUUGUAACAUCAUGUUCUACAAAUGCUUGUUCUAAAACUCUCUGUAGUGCUUCUCUGUGCGCUUCAGAAUUCAUGAGCAGAGACAACACUGAGAUUUUUAAGGGGGUUUGGAGCAGCUGCUCCACCACAUUAAACUCACUCCUUUUGAUUAACUGAAGUAAUUCAUCAUCAUCAUUAGCCUUCAAGUUGCUGGAUUCACCAUACUUACCCUUUGAAGUACCAACUGGAUCUACAACAGGAAAUUCUACCUUCUUUUCAACAACUUAUUCUUCCUUAUCCUUUGGGAACACCGGCCCAAACACACGACCACUGCGGGUCACCUUGGUUACAUCAACAAUGUUUACCACAGAGCUAGUCGUAGGUAACGGGACCUCUUGACCACCUUUUAUCAUUGUAGCAUUAUACUGAUACGGCACAGCUUUAUCAGAUGAAUACGGUAUUGGGCCCGCUAACCAUAUAACCAACGACGGUACUGAUCUAUUGCUGACAUUGUUAUUAUUGAUGAUGUCGUACUGAAUUACCAAUCUCUCUGGCUUCUUGAAAAUGGGCACUAUAACAUUUACAUCGUCAUCUACAUGACGGGAUUGAACAAUUUGAAUCAUAUCAUCCAUCAGUCGUUGGAUGUCCUUUUUCAUAACUUCGCAACCCCUUGAAUUAAUACUGCAAACAGCACAACCAUCAUGGUCAUGCUCACAAUCACUCACCACACAAAUGUCCUUAUGCAUCUGCACCAAGGAUCUUCGGAUAAAACGCACAUCAAAAACCUUAAACUCGCCAGGGCAACCAUCCACCAUAUUCACAAAAGAGUUCCCAUGGGCGGUUAAUGAAUUUGCUUUCACAUUCGGUGCUCGAUCCUCAAAGAACACCAUUCCACUAUUCAUCAGCUUCUAAACCUCAUACUUGAGCAGAUAACAAUUCUCGAUAUCAUGUCCGGGUGCUCCUUGAUGAAAAGCACAAUGAAGCUCAGGCUUGUACCACCAUGGAAGUGGUUCUGGAAUUUGCGGCGGGUUUCUUGGUUGGAUUAGGUUCUUGAGAACCAAAGAUGGGUAUAAUUCUGCCUAAGACAUAGGAAUCGGGUCGAAAGAGACCUUCUUCCUCUCGAAGUUUUGUUGAUGAUGAUUGUUAUUGGUAUUGCUGUUGUUGUAGGUGUUUGCUCGUUGUUAUGGUUGUUGUUGUAGACGUUGUGGUUGUUGAACUGGUGUUGAUUGUUGAUUAGAAAACACAGGGAUAACUGAAGAUACUUGAUGAUGAUGUUGACGGGAUGGUUGAUUCCUUCUGAUCUGAGGCCUCCUCUGCCUCCCACUGCUUAUUGCAUUUGCUUCAUUGUCCUUUUUCUUCCCAAAAUUGCUACCAUAUCUCUUACUCGAAGAUGCUUCAUCUUUCGACAAACGUCCCUCUCGGACUCCUUCCUCAAGCCUCAUCCCCAUGUUUACCAUUUUGGUAAAGUCACUAGGGGCACUAGCAAUCAUUCGUUCAUAAUAAAAUGAACUCAUAGUUUUUAGAAAGAUCUUUGUCAUCUCUUUUUCCUCCAAAGGAGGAGUGAUCUGGGCAGCCAAUUCUCUCCAUCUCUACGCAUACUCUUUAAAUGUCUCCUUAUCCUUCUGAGACAUAGACCUCAGUUGGUCUCUAUCAGGCGCCAUGUCCACAUUGUACUUAUACUGCUUGACAAAAACCUCUCCCAAGUCGUUGAAAGUAUGAACGCUUCCACUGUCUAAUCCCAUAUACCAUCUGAGCGCAGCACCAGUCAGACUGUCUUGGAAGUAGUGAAUCAACAGUUGAUCAUUGUCGGUCUGAGUAGACAUCUUGUGAGCAUACAUCACUAGAUGACUGAGUGGACAAGUGUUCCCUUUGUACUUUUCAAAGUCAUGCACUUUGAACUUCACCGGGAUCUUCACAUUGGGCACUAAACACAACUCAGCAGCACUCUUUCCAAACUAGUCCUUACCCCUUAGCAUCUUCAAUUCCUUGCGCAACUCAAGAAACUGAUCUUUCAUUUCAUCCAUUUUCUCAUAAACAUCCGGACCCUCAGACGGCUCGGAGUGAUAAAUGGUGUCCUCUACAUGAGGUAAGGUGUGCACAACGGGAGGUGGCAAAGACAUGACCGAGCUAGAUGUCGGCAUGGAAGCAAAAGUAGGCGCAAAGCCUUCAGGCAUAAAGUUCGGCGACAUUCCCCAUGGGAAUCCGACAGGCAUAGUGGGCUCAAAAUGAGCGGUAGCAGCAGGCAUGGUAGAGGUAGCCACCUCUGAAAUAACAGUCCUCUGAGGAGGAGGAGUUGCAGGCGUUAGAGAAGCUUGGCUCUGAGCAGCAAGAACUGACUCCAUCAUGGAAGUCAGGCGGGCGAUCUCGUCCUUCAGCUCUUUGUUCUCUUGCUCUAGAUGCUCCAUAAUUUUGAGAUGAUUAGCGCAGGUGUUGUACCGAUGAGUCAGUCAGCUUGGCUAAAGCACAUAAGAAACACCAAUGAGACAUCUCGGGAAAGAGAAACCUGCUUAUGUAAAUGAUGCAUGAAAUGCAAUGCUUAUUUAUUUAUUUUUGUUUUCAAGGAACUUACUAUAUCAUUUGCAAAUAUAUAUAUAUAUACUAUUAUAUAUUAUAUAUAUAUAUAUAUAUAUAUAUAUAUAUAUAUUAUAUAUAUAUAUAUAUAUAUAUAUAAUAUAUAUAUAUAUUAUAUAUAUAUAUUAUAUAUAUAUAUAUAUAUAUAUAUAUAUAUAUAUUAUUAUAUUAACAAUUGCAACAAUUUGAUAUGCAUAAAAAUCUCUUUGUUAAUUUAUAUAAUUGGAAGGAUUACACUGUAGUAAAAUUUCAGAACCAAAUGGAAAAUACAAGAGAAAAGGAGACUAGUCAUCCUAAGGAUCCUAACAACACGUUAGAAACUAGCUGAAGGGCGUACUUCCUUCGAUGCGACGGAUCUCAUCUCAAAUGCCUUCAUCUGAGUCUUCUCGAGGACAAGCUGAUCAACAAUCUUCUUCCAAGCAACGGAAGGCUGAGGCAUGCUAGAAGAUGAAACCUCUGGCUCUCUCUGUCUCUUUGUCACUCGGUCUUCAAGUAGCUCAAUGAGUGCAUCCUUGUCCUUAGACUCCAACUUCAACUCUUCAUGCUUCUUGCUCAAAGCACAUAAACGCUCUUCCCAUAUAUCCUUCUCUUGCUUCAUCUUUGCGAGCGCGACUUCCAACUCAUUUACAUCUUGGUUAGGGAGAGUUAAUGGCUCAACCACAACCAUAGACAUAGGUCAUUCACAAGGAUAGGGCAUCUUCAACUCCAAGGCUCUCUUCUUCACCGAAAGAGUGUAAGCUUCCAAAGCUACACAAUUGUGUGGACCAAGCUCGGAUCUUCUCUUCCUAUGCAUAUUAUGCCAAGCAUGCACAAUCUUCUGCUUCAAAUGUUGGGGAUCUUUACCCUCUUAAUAGAAAAGACCUUCUAAUAAAGUGUUAUUAGGUUUGUCUCUCAAGGGGAACCCAAGUUGACGACGAGCCAAAGCAGGGUUGUAGUUAAUUCCUCCUUGUGUACCAAUGAGAGGCACAUUAGAGUUUGUCUCUCAAGGGGAACCCAAGUUGACGACGAGCCAAAGCAGGGUUGUAGUUAAUUCCUCCUUGUGUACCAAUGAGAGGCACAUUAGAGAAUUCACCACAGCUAUCAAUAAUCUCCAAACUGCUCAAAGACGGAUCAUACCAAACUAUAUCAUCAUUAGUGAGAGACAUAAGUCUCUAAGAACACCGUAGACAUUGUUUGUUCGCCACAAAAGCAGGUGUCUGAGGAAAGUGCGAAAUAAACCACUUGUACAGAAGAGGAAUGCAACAGACAAUGGUUCCACCACCCUUAGAAUUCCUUAGAUGCAAAGAGAAAUACAUAUCACCCAACAAAGUAGGCAUAGGAUUCCCAAUCAAGAAAAUUCUAAUGGCGUUAACAUCAACAAAAUCGUCAAUGUUAGGGAACAAAGUUAAUCCAUAAAUGAGCAACACAAAGAUAGCUUCAAAAGCAUCCACACUACCGGCUUGAGCAAAAACAGUAGCUUCCUUGAUGAGGAAAUCAGAUGGCAACCCAAACAAUCCUCCUUUCUUCACCCAAUGAGCCUCUAUCUUAGACUUCUUCAAGUGAAGAGCUUCAGCAAUAAGAUUAGAUCGGGGAAUCUCCUCCAAUCCACUAAAAGGCACUCUACUAGAAACAGGUAUCCCCAAAAGAUGAAAAUACUCCUCCAAGGUAGGCACAAGCUGAUAAUUUGGGAAAGUGAAAUAGCGGUAGAGAGGAUCAUACAACUGCACUAACACACUCAUAAGUCCUUCAACCACAUCAGCAGACAAGAUGGACAGAAGUUUCCCAUGGCGUUGUUUGAAGUCCAAGGGAUCUAAUACAAAAGAUGCUAGCUUCCUUAACUCUUUCAAGUCGGGACAUCUGAAACUGUACUUCUAAGUGUUCCUUCGUCCAUAAUCCAUGGUCUUAAAAUAUUUGCAAAUAAUACCUUAGUUCCUUGAAAUUUUUGUGUGAUGAAUGUUAUGAUGCGCAUGAAUGCAUGAAUGCAACAAUCACAAAUAAGGGAUCACACACAAGGCAAAUAAACAAAGGUGAAGGGAUGAAUCAAGUCAUUGUCAAGAUCAAUCAUACAUUUUGGUGGAUUAUGGUUUAUACCUUAUCAACACCCAAGUUCCAUUGAUAUUGACAAGACUUGAUUGGAUCAACCAAGAAUCAAGGGUUUGUUGUAAGUCACGAGCAUGGAGUUUGGGCAAGAACCAUCCCAAAGGAGUGAACUAAGGAUAAAAACGUGUAGAUCAUGCUCUUAAAAGUUCCCAGAGUCUUAAUUCCAUCUAUCGGAUAUUACAGGUUAAGACGACUGACUCAUCGACCCAUAAUAUUCUUAAGAGAAACUCGUCUGAGUGUAGUAUCGCGUAACAAAUGUUAUCAAGUCUACACUCGAACAGUUUCCGCACUACGUCCUAAAUAGGCCAAGAGGGGGUAAAUGUUCUACGGUCCUCAGCUUCUUGGACCCAAAUUAGAGAUAGUAAUGCCUAACCAAAAAAUACUUGUGUGACAUAUCCAAAUCCAAAAGGGUCUCCACUGAGCAGAUGGAUCUCAAGUCAACUUGUUAAGGACUACUCCACAUAAGUCGAACAUGACUAUACCAUCCUCCUAUCUUAAUUGCACUCAAGUUCGGGUUAGAACUUAUCUCACCACUCAAAGAUCACCAAGCACAACAGGCAGAUUAUAUCACACAUAGAUAUAUACAAACAUCACAUAUAUAUAAAUAUAUACACACAAAAAGUAGGCUAAACCCACUGGAGACUACUCCCCAGCAGAGUCGCCACUUAAUUUCUCUAGCGGUAAAUUCAUGAUCAUGAAGCUAUGGAUAAGCUAGACAUCAAAUAACAAGAGUCGCUACCGCGCUUUUAUUGUUUCCAUGGGAAAAGGGAAAAAGUACGAACAAAACCCAAAAGUAAGAAGUUUUCAAAUCAAAACUAAUAAAAUGUCAGAGAUUACAGGUAAGGGGGUUGGUUACACAGAGGGAAGGUGUUAGCACCCAAAGUAUCCUAGGUACUCCUAGGGAGCCCUUUUUCUGUGCAUAUGUAUUUGGUACAAAAAUAAUGUUUACAAACAAAUAGAAUGGGGGGAUAAGAAAAGAAUUCAUUAAUUAUAUUUUUGUGUUUGACAAAACCUUCAGACUUGUGCCCACGUACCAACAUAAAAACGAGGGAUCAAAACCUCGUAGUUCGUGAUACAAAUUUCAAAGUGGAUGCAUUGCUUUUAACAAAAUUUAUGUUUGAAAGGCACAAAGGCCUGAAAAUGGUUUGAAUGAGUUUGUUCUUUUUGGAUUUUUUGAAAGUUUAAGUCAAGUAUAAUUAAGUUUAUUUACAAGUUUGAUUUAAGAAAAGAAGUUUGAAAAUGCAAUGACAUAAGGCCAAAGUUUCUAUCUUUUUGCAAAGUGGUCAAAGUUUAGAACAAAACAAGUUCAAACAAAGAAAUUUUUUAAAAAGGGAGGGAGAGAUUUUGAAAUUUAAGAAAUGGGGAGAAGAUGAAGAAACUAAUUCUAUGCACAAAAUUAAAAGUUAAGGGUUGACAAGAUCUGACCAAUGGGUAGCAAUCCAAUAGACAAGAAUGUCAAUAGAAACCCAAAUUUCCUUGGACAUUUAGAAUCAAGCAACACACAAAUGCACAAUUAUAUUAUCUUGAAGAGCAAGGCAUCAAAUAAAGAUAGCCACAUCCAAGCUUUAGCCACUCCAUGCUCUUCUUCAAAUUAGCCCAUGUAACAGAUGAAUUCCACAAGUCACUGGUUCAAAAUAACAGCUUCACAAUGAUCAUGUUGCUGAUGAACUCAAAGGGAUCUUGAAUGAUGUAUCAGAUGAAGUUUCAAAUUUCAAGCACUUGGUUACACAAAAUUUGGCAUUGGCCAAGUCCUUUAGCAUAGGAAUGUUGUCUAAGUCCUAAGUCCAUUUAUCCAAGAUCAAGUCAACAGUCCACACAAAAGUUUUUUAGGGUUUUUGUUGUUAUUAUGUACAUUAAUGAUCGAAGACCACACAAACAAACAAAGUAUACGCAAAAUGGAAUAUAUCACACAAUAUGGUCCAAGUGGACAAAGUGAAAAUUUCAUUGACAUAAAUAAUUAUAAUGGUAUGAAUAAUGGCAAAUGAAUAAAGACUAAAAUUAAAUGACAUUAAAGUAAAUGGCUUGAAAUUAAAAGUUAGUUGUUAAUGAGUUAGAAGUUAGUAUUGUUUUGCUUUUGCUUUUCAUUUUUAAGUCAUUCUUUGGAGAACACUCAAUCCACUUAUCACAAGCAUGGAUCCUUGAGCCAAGGCAUCUUCCAAAGGAAGGAAAAAAGGCCAAGUUUCCAUACAAUACCAUGAAAGAGGGGAGACUUACAAUCUCACUAACUAGAAUGCUAUGCCUUUUAUGUCACAAAUUUAGCGCUAUGUUAAGCAAUCGUAAUUGGACUUAUGUAGAAGUCAUAACUAUCUGAGGUCGGACAAUAGAAAUUUGGUGUUAAUGCAUGUUAGAGACAUAGUAUAAUAGACUAUACUCAUGAAACAUACCACACACAAAAAGAAUAUGCAAAAGAGGUGGCCUAAUCUCAUCCAUACGUAUGUUGAUUUUUCAAUCAACUAGCCUUAGGACUUUGAGAUAUCAUAGGCCAAAUGAGAUGAAUGCAUAAAGAAUGUGAAUGAGAUGAAGAGGGAGGGGAAUGGAUCAAAACUCAAAUUGGUCAAAGGAGGACUUUUACCAAAUUAAUAUCAUCCCUUCAUUUUGGAAGAUGGAAUGUACGUUCCAUCAAUCCCCUAAAUCCAAUGAUAUUAACUUGACAAAGUCAAAUUAACCUUGACCAAGGCCCAACAACAAGAGUCAAACUCAAACAAGUGAUCACAAUUGGUCAACAUAAUUAAUUGACAUUUAUUCAAAUUAAAAAGACUAAAAUAAUACAUUUAAAUUAAAUAUGGUUUGUCAAAUUCCUAAAACCUCAUCAAAACACCAAAGUAAUGGUCAUGAGAUUUAUCAUAGGUCAAACAAGGUCAAAGGACCUUAGAGAAAAAAAUUUAGAAUUUUUAAACAAUUCAAAAUAAUCACAAAAUCAAUUAAAUCAUGAAAAAUAUUAAUAAUGAACCAAAAAAUGAUUUUAAUUCAAAAUAUGAAAGAGGAAAUUAUUUGAAUUUUUUUGAUGAAACUCUCAUAUUUUUGGGAUCAAUAUUAAAAUUAAUAUGAAUUAAUGAAAAUAAGCUAAUUAAAAUAAAAAUCAGAAAAUAGCAGAAAAACGUGGACCACUUGAUCUCCCUAAUUAAUUGAGGUGGCAGAUCAAGUGGUCCUCAGCGCGCGUUUCACAAUGGACACUAGUCAAUGCGUUGCAGGGAUGGUAUUUAAAACCAACGCACGAGAUUAAAAUGUUUGAAAAUGAUCUUGUGGUCUGGAGAGAUGCCAACACAUCGUCGGAGCUGUAACUCGGGUCUUCUUCUCCGGUGGACCUCAUCGGACAGAUCCACCCUCAACCGUCACCAAAAUAAAAAAGGAGGACAUGAUCUGAAAGAAAAAAUGGCGUAGAGCACGAAUCUGACCUCAAUUUUAACUAACUCCACAUAUAUAGAAAGAUAUGAGGAGUUGAAUUUUAAGGUGUGUCAACUGAGAAAAGGAGGACAUGAUCUGAAAGAAAAAAUGGCGUAGAGCACGAAUCUGACCUCAAUUUUAACUAACUCCACAUAUAUAGAAAGAUAUGAGGAGUUGAAUUUUAAGGUGUGUCAACUGAGUUGCUUCGGUUUGACCUCUAAGCAACUCAAUCUUCUUUCCUACAUUGGUAGGACUUCAGACAACCAAAGAUCUAAGAGAAUUGAGUAGAAUUGAGUGAGAAUCGAAAAGAUGAAGUUUUCUGAAAAUUACCUUCAAUGUUAUGCAUUUCUUGAUGUUGCUUGCUUCAAACACGAUUUGAUCACACUUGAGAAGCUAAUAGGAAGUGAUUGGAGAGGUUGCAAGGCUGUGGAUCCUGGAGUUCUUGAAUCUCCAACAGUUCAGAUUCAAACUCAAAUUUCAAAUUAAAAUUUCUCAGGUUUUCCUUUAGAAUGAGAGGGUUUCAAUGGGGGGCAAAGAUGGUGCGCAAAGUGUGAUUCAAAUAAGCUCAGAAGCCUUCUAAUUAUAGCCAAAGGAAAUGAUAUUUGCACACUUCAAAAUCUGUCCAAAAUUGGCAAUAUGGAUAGCACGAGUGCAUGGGCAUGUACAGGCCCAUGAUGCAAUGCAAUAAGGUCCAAAAUGAUUCAAAUUAAAGUCUGAAUGAAGCUUGAAUGGCAAGGCAUUAUCAACUGAAGUUUGUACAAUUGAUUCUUUCCAAUGAUGCAGCCCUAUUAAAGCCAUGCGCAGACCUAGCAAUCUUUGUCCAAAAUGCAUGAACUUGGGUUCUUUGGAAAGCUUGGAUCAAGGGAAACAAGUUUGAUGUUGAGCACUUUUGCAUUUGGAGCUUAGAAUAUGGAGAAUUUUGAGGUGGAAGUUUGGAAAUUUCAACAUGUUGAAAAUUUUUCUAAGUGUCAAGCUAUAUAUCUCAAUAUUCCACCUUGCUUAACAUUUUAUGUGAGCUUCAAAUAAGAAAAGUGUAUUCACAAAAGUUGUAAAUAUUUCAAAGACCUUAAAAAUGGUCACCAAUUUCAUGUCAUUUGGAUUUAGAAUGAUAGAGUUAUGCAUUUUUGAAGUUUGGAAAAAUCACAUGUUCAAUGGUAUAAGUCAAAAAUGACCUAUAAUGUAUCCUCAUAUAACAUGCUCAUAAAAUUUGAAUUUUCUCUCACUCCAAACAUAAAAGUUUAAGUAGACAUCUUUAAUUUGAUUGUGAAACUUGGAAAUAUUUAAUCUCAUAAAAGUUGAGAAAGUUAUAGCCUUGGGAAGUUGACUUUCAAAUUAGGGUUUAGACAAAAUGACCUAUAAUGUUUCAAUAUAGAAAAUGAUUUUCCAAGCAAAAAUAGAUCUAGGUCUCAACAUGAAAGUUGUUUGGAAUGUAAUUUAGAGUAACUUUGCUCUUGGAAUCAUUUUCGUAUGGUGAAAUUGUAGGAGAUAGGGUCUACGGAGACCCAGUUUUGAUCAGAUGAAUUCAUCUGGCCAACCACCAUCAACCAACUUGCUAACCUUCAAUUCUCUUGACUUUAUAGGCUUAUGGUAGAUCAUAUAUGCAUAAGAUGAUGAAUUUUGGAGUGUCCCUUGAGAAAUUUGAUCAAUUGGUGAGAUAGCUUGUUAGAGAAGUUACUCAAGAUACCCAGUCAAACUAGGGUUUUCAAGGCAAAUCACCUCCAAACUCUUGAAGAAAAUUUGAUCAAUAUAACAUGUAGGAAUCAAUAGAACUUAUAUAUGAUGCUCAUAAACAUUCUUGGAUCAAUUCAUGGUUGUUCUCUUUGUCAUGAGGGUCUCACGCCCUAGAUAUGAACCUGAUAAAUCAAUGGGAUCAUGCCUUACCUACAAAAGGGUUAGGCAAAUGCAAAGACAUAUUUUUGGUAUUUUGGUUAUUAAAAUGAUAAAAUACAAGUAUGAUAUAAUCACCUAGUGCUUGGUGAUCUCUCCCAAAACAAACCCAAUGAAAGAGGGGUAAGGAGGAUGCCAAGGUAUGAUCCCAAUGCUAAUGCUUAUGAUGAAAUUGCAUGAGGGAUCUUAGGGUCAAAAUUUGGGUCUUACAGAUUUGUUAAAAUUUCCAAACUCCCACCUCAAAAUUCAUAAUGAUACAAGAUUCAAAUGGAAAAGUGUUCAACAUAAGAGUUGUUCCUCUUGAUCUAACAUUUCCAAAGAGUCCAAUUUCAUCCAUUUUGGACAAGGUUUGAGUGGUAUGCACAUGGCUUGAACAGGGCAUCAUCAUUUGGCAAAAAUCAAACUUCAAACAAUUGUACACAUUUACCUUGUAUUCCAAUUCACUUUCAGAUUCAUGCACACUUGAUUAUGGACCUAAUUGAGUGACUUCAUGGGCCUGUACACGCCCAUGCAAGCAUGCAUCAUCCAUUGCCAAAUUUGGAAGUUGAAUUUGAAGGUGAAAAUAUCAUAAGCCGCAGCUAUAAAUAGAGACCUCUAGCCAGAAUAAAGGACCCUUGCGCGCCAAUUUUUCUCUAGUACCCUAAACCCUCACAUUUGAAAGGAGAAACCUGAGAAUUUUCUUUGAAAAUUGAGUUUGAAUCUCACUGUUUGGAGAUUCAAAACUCCAGGGAUCCAAAGCUUUUGUUCCAUUCUAAUCUACUUCUGCAAGCUUCCUGAGUGAGAUCAAGCAAGAAUCAAAGCAAGAGCAAUCGAAUCCUGCACAGCAUUGAAGGUAUUUUCCAGAUUUUUUCUUCUCUUCGAUUCUCUCUCAAUUCUCAUCAAUUCUCUUGGAUCCUUGGUUGUCUGAAGUCCUACCAAUGUAGGCAAGAAGAUUAAGUUGCUUUGAGGUCAAAUCGAAGCAACUCAGAUCAUGUACCUUAAAUUUCAACUCCAUGUAUCUCUCAAUAUACUUGGAGUUAGGAUGAAUUGAGGCCAGAUUCGUGAUCAGUGCCAUUUUUACUUUGAAAUCAUGUCCUUCUUUUUUAUUUUUGUGAUGGUGAUGAGUGAACCAGUCCGGCCAGGGUCGCCUGAGAAGGUGACCGGCGUUUUGCUCCGGUGAUGAGCUGGAAUAGUUCAGAGCCAUGUGAUCAUUUCGUUUUGUUUUAAUCAUGAGCGUUGGUUUUGAAUACCGUUUGUGUGGCACGCUGACUCAAGUGCAUGGUGGAACGCGCGUUUGGAUCCACUUGAUCUGCCACCUCAAUUUAUGAGGGAGAUCAAGUGGUCCACGUUUUUUCUGAAUAUUUGAAUUUCAUUUUAUUUGUGUUAUUUUCAUUAAUUCAUAUUAAAUUUAAUAUUGAUCCAAAAAAUAUGAGAGUUUCACCAAAAAAAUAUAAAUUUCUCUUUCAUUUCUGUUGAAUAAAUAUUUUUGGAUCAUUAUUAAUAUUUUUCAUGAUUAUUUUGUGAAUAUUUUUAAUUGUUUAAAAAUACUUUUAAGUUUCCAAAAAUUAUGAAACUUUUUCUCCAAGGUCCUUUGACCUUGUUUGACCUAUGAUAAAUCUCAUGGGCAUUUCUUUGGUGUUUUAAUGAGGUUUUAGGAAAUUGAUCAACCAUAAUUUAAUUUAAUGCAUAUUUUUAUUAUUUUUAAUUUUUUAAAUGCCAAAUAAAUUGUGUAGAGCCAUUUUAAUUGACUUUGUGAGUUUGACUUGUGUUGUUGGGCCUUGGUCAAAGUUGAUUUGACUUUGUUAGAUUAAGAUCAUUGGAUUUAGGGGAUUGAUGGAAUGUACAUUCCAUCUCCCAAAAUGAAUGAAUGAUCUUAAUUUGGUAAAAGUCCUCCUUUGACAAAUUUGUAUUGAAUCCAUUCUCCCUCCCUCUUCAUCUCAUUCCCCUUCUUCAUUCAUUCAUGUCAUGGACAUAUGACAUCUUUAUAUCCUAAGGCUAGUUGAUUGCAAAAUUAACAUGAGCAUGGAUGAGAUUAGGUCCCCCACUUUGCAUAUUCUUUUUGUGUGUGGUAUGUUUCAUGAGCAUGGUUCAUUAUACUAUGUCUCUAACAUGCAUUAACACCAAAAUUCUAUUGCCCGACCUCAAAUAGUUGUGACUUCUACAUAAGUCCAUUUACGAUUGCUUAACAUAGCGCUAAAUUUGUGACACAAAAGGCAUAGCAUUCUAGUUAGUGAGAUUGUAAGUCUCCUCUCUUUCAUGGUAUUGUGUGGAAACUUGGCCUUUUUUCCUUCUUUUGGAAGAUGUCUUGGUUCAAGGAUUCAUGCUUGUGAUAAGUGGGUAGAGUGUUCUCCAAAGAAUGACUUAAACAAAACAAAGCGAAAGCAAUACUAACUUCUAAUCAACUAACAACUAACAUUUAAUUUCAAGUCAUUUACUUUUAUGCACUUUAAUUUUUAAGCUUUUAAUUCAUUUGCCAUUAUUCAUACCAUUCAAUUUGUUUACUUAAUGUCAUUUUCACUUUGCCCAUUUGGGCCAUAUCUUGUGAUAUAUUGUGUUUGUAUAUACUUGUUUGUUUGUGUGGUCUUUUGACCUUAAUGUACAUAAUAAGAACAAAAACCCUAAAAAACAUCUUGUGUGGACUGUUGGUUUGAUAUGAGACUAUUGGACUUAGAAUUUAGGCAACAUUCCCUAUGCAAAGGACUUGGCCAAUGCCAACUUUCAUGAAACCAAGUGCUUGUGAAGUGAACAUUCAUCUGAUACAAUAUUGAAGAUCCAUUUGAGUUCAUCUGCAACAUGAUCAUUGUGAAACUGUUAUUUUGAACUUGUGUCUCAUGCCAUCUUUGAAGUCAUCUGAUACAUGGGAAAUUUUGAAGGAGAUUAUGGAGUUGCUAAGCUUGGAUGUGGAUAUCUUUAUUUGAUGCCUUGCUUUUCACCUCGCUAUUUGUGUAUUGAUGUUGCUUUAUUCUAAAGUCCAAUGUAAAUUUGGGUUUCUAUAUGACAUUCUUGUCUGUGAAUUGCAUCCCAUUGGUCAGAUCUUUUCAACUCUUAACUUUUAAAUUUGUGCUUAGGAUUAGUCUCUUCAUCUCCUCCCCAUUUCUUUAAUUUCAAAUCUCUCCCUCCUUUUAAAAUCUUCUUUGCUUGUGUUUGUUUUCUAAACUUAGACCGUAUUGCAAAUUAGAAACUAUGGCCUUAUGCUAUUGCAUUUUUCAAACUUAUUUUCUUAAUCAAACUUGUAAAUAAACUUAACUAUACUUGACUUAAACUUUCAAAAGCCAAAAAGAACUAACACGCAUCCAAACCUUUUUAGGCCUUUUGUGCCUCUUUCGAACUUAAAUUUUGUUAAAAGCAAUUGUUGAUUCUAAGUGUUGGCAGCAAUUUUGGUAAAACAAAGAGUGUUCACAAGAUGUCAUGUGUGAUGUCUUAACAUGAGAUAUCCUAUGUACCUGCUGGAGUUCAAGAACAUGUGCAUGCUGGAUUGUUUCAGAAUGCCAGAUAUAAUGACAAGGCUUCUGAUAUUGGAUGUACCUGCUGGAGCUUAGAUGAAAGACAUGUUCAUGUAGGAUUGUUUCAGAUGACAUACACAAUAUCAUGGCAUCUGAUAUGGCUGUACCUGCUGGAAGUUAUAAAAGGAAUUAUUGGAUUAUGCAGGAUUUUUCCAGGAUGUCAGACCCGAUGUCAUGACAUCCUGUACACAGAACAUUCAGUAUGAAUGUCCGGUGUUUUGUGAUUGCACAAUUAAUGGCAAUCUUUGGAUGAUUGAAGAUAUGGCUAGCUGGCGCAUUCAAUCAUGGAUUACAACCAGAUUUACUUAUUUUCCAAGGAGAUCUAAANNNNNNNNNNNNNNNNNNNNNNNNNNNNNNNNNNNNNNNNNNNNNNNNNNNNNNNNNNNNNNNNNNNNNNNNNNNNNNNNNNNNNNNNNNNNNNNNNNNNNNNNNNNNNNNNNNNNNNNNNNNNNNNNNNNNNNNNNNNNNNNNNNNNNNNNNNNNNNNNNNNNNNNNNNNNNNNNNNNNNNNNNNNNNNNNNNNNNNNNNNNNNNNNNNNNNNNNNNNNNNNNNNNNNNNNNNNNNNNNNNNNNNNNNNNNNNNNNNNNNNNNNNNNNNNNNNNNNNNNNNNNNNNNNNNNNNNNNNNNNNNNNNNNNNNNNNNNNNNNNNNNNNNNNNNNNNNNNNNNNNNNNNNNNNNNNNNNNNNNNNNNNNNNNNNNNNNNNNNNNNNNNNNNNNNNNNNNNNNNNNNNNNNNNNNNNNNNNNNNNNNNNNNNNNNNNNNNNNNNNNNNNNNNNNNNNNNNNNNNNNNNNNNNNNNNNNNNNNNNNNNNNNNNNNNNNNNNNNNNNNNNNNNNNNNNNNNNNNNNNNNNNNNNNNNNNNNNNNNNNNNNNNNNNNNNNNNNNNNNNNNNNNNNNNNNNNNNNNNNNNNNNNNNNNNNNNNNNNNNNNNNNNNNNNNNNNNNNNNNNNNNNNNNNNNNNNNNNNNNNNNNNNNNNNNNNNNNNNNNNNNNNNNNNNNNNNNNNNNNNNNNNNNNNNNNNNNNNNNNNNNNNNNNNNNNNNNNNNNNNNNNNNNNNNNNNNNNNNNNNNNNNNNNNNNNNNNNNNNNNNNNNNNNNNNNNNNNNNNNNNNNNNNNNNNNNNNNNNNNNNNNNNNNNNNNNNNNNNNNNNNNNNNNNNNNNNNNNNNNNNNNNNNNNNNNNNNNNNNNNNNNNNNNNNNNNNNNNNNNNNNNNNNNNNNNUUGAUGAUUGAAUUGGACUGAUUUGUGGUUGUAAUUUGUCACUCUAAAGCUGUUAAGCAAGAGUGUGUGUCUUCUUGAUCAAAGCUGUGAAGCAAGAUCAAGAGUGUGUCUUCUUGAUUGAAACUGUGAAGUAAAAUCAAGAGUGUGUAAUUGAAAAGUAUUUUCUUUUCACAAGGGAUUGUUGUUUAAAAUCACUGGUGUGUGAUUGUAGGGAAGUGAGUGGGUUCUCAUAUCUAAGAGUGCUUAGGUAGAAAUUGCACGGGUAGAGAUUAGGUGAGAAAGACUGUAACUUGUUGAAGUGUACGGAGAGUCUUUGAACUAAUUCUAUUUUAGUGAAUUUCCUUCCUGGCUUGGUAGCCCCCAGACGUAGGUGAGUUGCACCGAACUGGGUUAACAAUUGCUUGUGUUAUUCGCUUUACCAUUCUGUAUUUUUUUUAUCCAUUAUGUGUUAACAGAUAUUAGUGUCGUGACAUUACCUUCGACAUCUUAUAUCUGAUACCAGAAUUUCAGCAACUCACUCAUUUUGAAAUUGAUAUCACGAACUACGAGGUUUUGAUCCCUUAAUUUUAUGUUGGCACGUAGGCACAAGUCCGAUGGUCUUGUCAAACACAAAAAAUAUAAUUAAUGAAUUCUUUUCUCAUCUCCUCAUUUUAUUUAUUGCAAACAUCAUUUGUACAAAAACACAUAUGCACACAAGAAGGGGCUCCCUAGGAGUACCUAGGACACUUUGGGUGCUAACACCUUCCCUCUAUGUAACCAACCCCCUUACCUGUAAUCUCUGGCAUUUUAUUAGUUUUGCUUUGAAAACUUCUUAUCUUUUGGGUUUUGUUCGUGCUUUUCCCUUUUCCCUUGGAAACAAUAAAAGCACGGUGGCGACUCUGGUUUUAUUGACGUCUAGCUUACCCAUAGCUUGAUGGUCAUGAAUUUACCGCUACACCAACCACACUUGUAGUUCAUAACCAUAUCCAGUGCCAUGAUGUAGUCCACAUGAUCCACAAGUAUCUCAGAUCAAAAUUCAUUGUAGCACCAAAAUACCAAAGGCUUGAUUCUCAAGAACACCAUGAAGAGAAACUUAUCUAGCCUUUAUUCCAUGAACAUCAACCUCUGCAUUAAUGAUGUUAAUCUAAGAAAUGCAAUUGUACAUGAAUCAAUAUGGCAUGAGUAUGCAGAUGAACUUAGGGUCAAAAGUUAGAUGAAAAUGUAAUAGGCAGGAUAAUUUUUGGGGUAUGACAACAAGAUUGUGGUACAUGUUAUAUUUUGGUACCUUACUAUCAUUUUGGUACAUCUUAAAGUUACUUUACAAUCAUUUCGGUGCAUGUUUGGAACAAGUGUCAUGAACAACUGAUACACUUAAAGUUACCGAUUAAAGACUAAAAUCAUGUUCUUCAUUCAAAAUCAUAUUCAUUCAACAUUUAAUGUUGUAGAUUACACCAACAACAUUACACAUUUCAUUUAUCUAAACCAAUUACAUAUAACAUAAGUAAACCUUACAUUACACCAUUUAACAACAUUACAUAUUUCAUUCAUUUAAACCAAUUACACAUAACUAAAAUUCUUACUUCAAUACAUUAUAGAAAACUAAACCAAUUAUAAAAACAAAAGUGAUUGACACAGAUGAAUUCAUCAUAUUCUUCAUAAACUUCAUCUUAAUCUUCAUUUAUUCCUUUUUGAUCUUGACAACAUUUAAUUUAGACCUCUCCUCACUAAACUUGUGGUUCAGAUCAAAUAUUACUUCCUUGGCUCUUGGUGACAUUUAUUCAUCAACCCCACUUUUGGUCACAUCUUUUAUACCCUUGUACCUUAAACAUUCCACAACCGUAAAAACAACAACCUGGGUUCGAUUCGAUCCAGGAAGUCAUCAAUGGAGAUUCCAAUCCGUAAUUGCACUCUUCCUGGAUGUAUUUCACAACCUUUUGAUAAAUUGACUUCGAGCUUUGCAACAUUUUUCCGCGACUGAGAGAAGAUAAGAGAAGAGAAGGCAAAUUUAUUUAUGGAGAAUAUGAACCCAAUUUUAUGGAUGAAACAAAGCUACUGAGAGAAAAGAAGAAAACACAAAUUAAUUUAUGGAGAAGAUGAACCCAGAUAUAGGGCUCAAGCACAACUGCUAAGAGAAGAUAAGAGAAUGCAUAUGGAUUUGUGGAGAAGAUGAGGUAAUUUAAAUUGAAAAGAUUAAUUAAUUUAAUGUAUUUAAAUUAUUAAAAAAUUUAAUCAGAUUAAAAUUACAAAAUUAAUAUGACAUGACAGUAACUUAUACACGGGGCACAAAACAGUACCUGCCACGUCAUUAAAAUCCUGCCUAGUGAUGGGGGACCACAAAAAAAACAAGGAAUGUGAAUUAUAGGGACCAAAAAGCUGGUUUUUUUAAAGGAGGUGCAAAAAGUUAAGAAUAUUAAAAUAGGGGGACUAAAAGUGCAUUUAAGCCUCAGUUCUACUUAUAUUGAACGAAAAAUUGAUUUAUAUUGGAAUAAAUAAAUUAAUUCUACUUAUAAACUAAUUAUUUAUGUUAUAAUUGUAAAGAAUUUAUGAUUUGUCAUACAUGGUUUUAAAUUUACAUUGGGCCAUCGAUUUACUAAUCAUUUAUAGGCUCAUGAUCUAUUUCUAUAUCUGAUGGAGAUUAGGGUUUCAACAACGUAUCUACAACCCGUGAAAGUGCCGGUAGCUUAAGUUUCAUCUUUAUUUCAUGUUCUUCAAGCAGGUAUGUGUUAUCAUAAUAUUUGCAUGUGAGUUCUGAAUGUUGUUUUAUGACCUUUCCACUCUCAAUCGAGAAACCGAAAUCUCUAGUUCUAAUAGUUUUUCUUAUUUUCGUUAAUGGGUUCAUGUGUUUUUGGAUUUUUGUUGUCUUAUAUGGUUUUUAAAGUUUUCGUUAAAAAAAUUUUAAGCUUGUCUUGUAUGAUUUGUAAAUCGUAUACUCUAUUUUUGUAAUUUUAAUCUAAAAGUGAUGUAAAGUAAAGUUUUCGUUUUGUAGUUCUUUUGUUAAAAAGUUGUCUUCUUUCUUUACAAUGUAUGGAAAUUGUAUUGUCAUUGCAUGCACAAAUAUAAUAUAUGUUUUAAUAAAUGUUUCUUAUUCUGGUUACAUUUAGAAUAGAAUAAUGAAAGGUCUAAAGUCAGCGAUGUAUGGAUACAUAUAGGGUGAAUCUUUAUCAAGCAUGAGAUGAUGAAGUUGUGUUUUAUUUUUGAUUAACAUACAUAAUGAGUGUUUCAGUUUCUAUUGUUUUGUGGUUCUCCGAUCGAUUUAUUGAAUUGAAACUUUAAAUCAAAAAAGUUUACUUGAAAAAGGAACGAUUUUUUCACUAUAGACUGUUAUGUAAACAUUAUGGGUUUAAUAAAACUAACAUGCAUAUAACGAUUGUAUUUGUUUGUUUUAUGUUAUGUUUUAGAGUUUUACUUAAUUAGAUAUAGAGAUCUGGUAUAAAAUCAUGUCACUGACUAAUUUAUUUUUGAAGUUCUGAAAAGGCGAUGGAGACGAUUAAGGGUAUGGUAAUGGAGUUUGAUGAAAGUUUUAUAAAAGAAGGUUAUUAAGAAAGGUGACAAUGGGUCUAAAGUUGUUAAGAAAGCCAUCAACUUGACUGAAGUUGUCAAGCAACUUGAGCCUGUUAAUUCACGUGUGAAACAAACCAAAGUUGUUAUGAAAGUUGCUAAGAAAGCUGGCAAAAGAACCACAUUUGUUAAGAAAGAUGACAAUGGGAAUGUGAUCGAAACCAUUAAGAAUAUGAAUCAGUUUGAAGAUAUUGUAACAAAGGAAAAUUUUGUUAAGGGUAAAGUUAUGCAUAAUGAAUGAGGAAAUCAAACUAUUUUGAAUGGGAUCGAUUUGAAUGAAGUUGGCGAACAAAGCAACAAAGGGUACAACCAAUAUAUAUGGGAGAGCAGCAUAGUGAAUGCAAAAACCAAAGGGAGACAUUUCUUGGUAAUUUUAUAUACACAAAUUAUUUUUUCUUUAAUACUUGAUAACUUAUUAACUUUCAAUUAUUUGGAUAUUUUUGAAGCAUUUUCGUAGAGUAAUAGCAAAAAAAUGUCUGAUAAAAAAAUCAAAAAGAGAUCAAAAUUGUUGAUCUUGAAGCUGAUAAAACCUACAAAUGUACGGUUCACACAACAAUACAGAAUAACAUAACAAAGAAAUAUGAGAAGUAUAUUUCUCGUGGAUGGUAUGAGUUUGCGAAAAGUAAGAACUUUCGUGAUGGGGAUAUGUUGGUGUUUAGAAUAUGACAUUUUUCAACCUACAUGCAUGUAUCUUUAUGAGGAGUUGAGGCGUGGGUAUGUUUUAGAAGUCAGAUGUUGUGAUGUGGUUGUCAUGUGGUUCUUUUUAACAUGGUAUGGUUGGUUUAUUUUUCUAUUUUUCUUCUUCUAAAUUUCAAUGAAUAUGGAAAUCCCAAUAUUUUAGGAUAUGUAAUAUAUCUUAUUUUGGUUGUUUUGAAGCCAAUAAAUUGCAGUAACUGAUAUGAUAUCUAUAGUCAUAUGGUACCAAAUGAUAAUAUUAUGUUUAUAGUAUAUUAUAACAUUUGAUGAAUGUGUAAGGUAUAUGUGAUUGUUCAUGGUGACUUUAUUCUUUGUAGAGGUUAUGAAUAUAUCUAUAAUGUUUGAUAUAUCUGCAAUGUAUUUCCAAUCUACAAUGUAUCUGAAAAGUAUAUAUGCAAUGUCGACAUUCUCAUUGUGAAUAUUUUAAACUUAUUGUUGGAACAACAUUGUUCACAUCCCUUUGGUUUUGAUGAUAAUAAAGUACUUAAAGAACAAAUGGGCAUACUAACAUAUGUUCAAGCGUGCAAUCGCAAACAUAGAAUUAAUCCUGAUUGAAAGCAUAUAUGGAAAAGCAAAUGAGUUUGAUUCUGAUUGAUCAGAAUCUUAUGACUUUGAACGUGUUCACCAGCCUCCGAAGGAUUAGAGUCUGGUCAUAUGUUCUUGCAUCUGGUGACAACUCAGACUCUGAAAGUUUGAAGAGCCUCUAAUCCGUACACUGUACUAAAGCAGGCUAGUCUUGUCAAAGCUCCAGAUUUCUGGACAAAGUCAACUAGGGUUUCAUUUUGCAAGGCUUAUGGAAUGAUGAUGUGACCUCUUUAGUCUGUUCUACCUUUUGGUAGAUACCUAGUACUUGGAAAGAUAUUAUGAACAAUGCUAUUAUUCAGUGUAAAAUGCUUCAAAUCAGAUACAUUCUCCAACGACUCUCUUGGCAUGCUUCUUCACUAAGUUUGCUCUUUUGUUCAAACUCUCCAACGACUCUUUCUCUACCUCUAUAAAAGGAAGUCAAGAUUUGAAGGAAGGUGUACAACAACGCAAUACAAUAUCUUGAGCGUGACUAUGAGCUUUCAUUUGUAACUGUUAUUGCAUAGAAGUUACGAAUUAUAAUUUAAAUUAUAAUUAGUACUUUAGAUUUACAAUUUUGUAUUAGGUAUAAAUAAUAAGUAUUAAUAACAAAUCUAACGUCAGAUGAAAUGAGUCUUACAUGAAACUUGAAAUUAAAACUUAGUCAAAACAACAAUUAUUAAUUUAACAUAAAUAAUUAGUUUAUAAAUAGAAUUAACAGUUUUUAAUCAACAUAAUGUAAAACAAUGUUAUAAAAAAUUAUAAUGCUAAUAAUGCUAAUAAAAAGAUUAAUAAUGAAAAAAGAAUAAUAUUUAGGUAAUUAAAAAUAUUACUUUUAAGGACAUAAAAAAUUUGAUUUAUAUUAAAAUAAAUAAAUAAAUUUUAUUUAUAAACUAAUUAUUAUUUCCGUUAUAAUUGUAAAGAAUUUCUCAUUUGCCAUACAUGGUUUGAAAAUGUACACUGGACCUAUGGUUUAAUAAUCAUAACAUUUUGAAUUAAGAAAACUAGAAACAUAACAUUCAAUUAAAAUAUAGCUUUUUUAUUAUAAGACAUACUUGAUUCUCUUAAUUCUAUUUUGAAUUUUAGUACCUGUAUCAUAAAUAGACAGUUGCAUGAAUUUUGGAGUUUGACUUGACAUUAGUAACAUGCUACCUAUCAUGCGACAUGAUUGACCUUGAAUAUGGAAAGUAUGAGGAGGGCCCUUACCAUUGUUAAAACAAUUAUCCAUUUUUGCAUAUGGAGAUGUAAAUGCAAACAUUAUGUUAUACAUUCGUAUUUGUUGUUGGAAAUUUUUUGACUUAUUUUUUCAGUGUCAAACAAAACAUCCUGUAAAACCUUAGGUGACUUUUUUAACAAAGGAAUUUGAACCUUGCUAUUGCCACAACACAUGGAUAAUUUAGGAUUAGUUGCAUUUUGAAACUUAGUUUGCCUUUCUUGAUACCACAUAUUUGCCUCACAUUCUUGACAUUGUUUCAUUAGAUCUCCUAUAUCGUAGUAACCUCCUGACAACAAUGUAAUAAUAAGUGUUUGUAAUGUUAAUAUAAAUGUAUGUUCUCAUACGAUACCUGAAUCAUAAGAAAAAUUAUUUGUAAAUUAUGUUGCAUCAUAAUAAUUGUCUCCAUCCAAUAUUGUAUCUGACUCUGAACUAUAACCUAUUCCAACCAAAUCCAAAAAUAUAUAUAGUACAAUGAAAAUGAUAAAUAACAAAUAAUAUACUAUAUAAGAUAAUCUUACCUUCAGAGUCAUCAUCAUUUGAAUUAACAAAUAGGUCAUUACGUUCAGGACAUGUAAUAGGGUCGGUGUUUGACAUAAUUGGCUCUUUAUUAGCUAAUAUGACAAUCAAACAUUUUUUUUGCAAAAUUUUCCCCCAAUUUGUUAAUUUGAACAGAUGGAUUUUUUUAUCUGAUAUUAACCAUUGUAUUUGGUUGAGUUCUGGAAGAUGAAAUAUAUUGAGUGUGUUGAAUAAAACUUGUUGAAACAAUGUUGGUACCUUGAAAUUCAGUAUUCAUAUAUACUUACAUGAGUUGGAAUGUUAGUAUCAAUACUUACCAAUGGUGUUCUUAUACUUGAAGAUGCUCAGUCAAUGCUGGUAGUCAAAAGUUCAGUAUUUUUCUCAUUUUCGGUCUUCAAUUUCUUCAAUUUUUUCUGUUGAAAAAUGUUCUUUCUAUUAAUCUUGGUUUUUUUAGCCACACUCUUCUUCAACAUAUUUGUAAAGAACGUAUGUUCAUCGUCACUGACCUGAUCCAUGGCACAAACUCAAAUCUAUAUUUUAUGCAUAUAUAAUUAAUAUUGUAAAUCAUGACUAUAUAACUAGUAACAUAUACAAUAUAGUUAUUAGAAGUUAAUAGACACUAAACCACUAUUGUCAGUUGAAUUUAAGUAAAGUUCUUUUAAGUACAUUUUUUAAAUGUACAUCAUAGUUCCAAAUUCAAAUGUCAUGAAAUAUGUAUUUCUAGAAAAUAUACCAUAGCCGUUCUACUAUAGUGAGGCUACUAUAGAUACAAACAUUGCCUUAAUAAAAAAUUAGUGCAAAUAUUAUAUUUAUGUUAAUAGCAAAUAAUAAAUUUAUUGCUUACUAUCACACAUGUUCAGAAUGAGAAAAACAUAAACAUAAAUACUUUAAAAAAAUUGUAUGAUGAAUACACUUAUGCUCGGGUAUAUAAGCUUAUCUAGAAUGAUAUUUCCAUGUUGGUAUUAGUUAGACAUAGAUGUAAAAGCCCAAACUUCUUUGUAUAUCAAUAUACCUCAUGUAUAUAUACAACAUAACGUGUAUCAAUAUAUCAUAAUUUAAUAUUUUCUGAUAUGAAGUUUGUUGUAGAAAAUAACUUUAAUAUAGUCUUUAUUAAUACAUAACAUUUGUUCUCAUUUGAAUAUCAAGAUUUUUAAUUGCAAAUGAAAUAUUUUGAAUUGCAAUAUAGAGUGUCAUACAAAGCAUUCAUUUCUUACUUAUGUUAUAACAUAAAUAGACAUUUAGUAUUAUAUGUUUAUAUUGCAAUCCACCUGUUAUUUACAUGUCAUGUUUUAUUACUUGAAAAAUGAAUGAUUAUUUAUGCAAUGCUAAGUAUAAUAUCAGGAUCACAGUCAUUUACUUACGAAAUCACAUUGACAGUUGUUAACUAUUUUUUAUAAAUAUUAUGAGCAAACAACUGUAACUUUACAUGUGAUAUGUAUCAACUUUUCAAAUAUGAUUUAGAUUAAUAACAAAGCUAAAGCAACGGACAUUCAUUUUAUUUUCUACGUAUAUAUGGUUUUCAUUCAUAAGGUCUAAUAACACAUCUAAAGUAAACAACUGCAAAACUACACAUAUUAAAGCAUCAUAUUAACGACAAAUGAAAAUCUAACAUUCAAUUCCAAAUCAUCCAAACAAAUUGUUUCAUUAAAGUACAAUCUCAAAAAUAUCCAGCAUGAUUAAAACUAUUUUUAAAUUCAUCAAACACCCACUUUGAUAUAUCAAUCACUUUACCAACAGAUUUCUGGUAAAUGCAAACAUUCAAAAUGAAGCUUUCUCAUAAAUAGAAAGCCUACAAACCAAAACACAAACGCAAUAAAAAAAAUUCAAAGUUUUUCAAUUGUUUGAUUCAAUCUUUAAUUUUUUUUGGUGGUUUGGUCGCUGAGUAUUGAGUAGCUCAAACUAAAUCACAAUUUAUAUUUACAUCCUUAGCCACGCCGGAUUGAAAUUUUACUGGAGUUGAUUCACUAUUAACAACAAGUUCAUUUUAUUCACAUGCAAACAUUAAUGCUACAAAAAAUAUAAAUGCAAUUUUCAUAAUUAAUAAUGAUGACAAAAAUAUAUAAAAAAACAAACAUAUAUCUCCAACGAAUAGUUAUUGAAUCACAAAUGGUAAAUCAAUAUUUUCUUGGCUUAUAAUAACAUUUGCAAAUUGUGAUAUAAAAUGAUUCUGAACAAAUGGCGUAUGGGCCACACAUUGGGGCAUAGCUAUGUGCACCCCUCUAUAUUUAUUACAAAUUUAUUUAUUUAUUUAUUUUCUUUUGGUCGUCAUUGGGCCUUUGGACCAUGAUUGUUCUUUCUUUUACUAGUUUCUUCACCUAGUAUUAUAUCUUGCACCCCUCCUCACACUUAAUUGUUUUCUUUGCAAUUUUAUUUAUUUUGUUUAUUUUUUAAUUAAUUAACUAAAUAAUUAAUAACUAAAAUGAAUAUUUCAAAUUAAAAACCGUUGAUCCAACGUCAAGUGGCCUUUUAUAAACUCAUCAUCUUUCGAUCGAUUCAGAAUCAACGCAAAUCAAACUUUUAUCCAUAUCAAGUGCAUUUUCUAAAUUAAAACAAAAAUAGCUAAUCAUUUUAAACAUCUUUUCACAAAUAGGAUGAGAAAGAAAUAGUUUAGUGUCUACCACUCUUUUCCCUGAUUGCUUAGAUACGAGUCGUAUAGCUCGACCAUUCGAGCAUUUGUCAUUCGUUUAAAACUCUUAACAGGAUUCAUAUUGGACUUCUUUCAUAAACCAUACUUAAGUGUUCUCAUUUUCAUAAUAAAUCGGAUGAAAAAUGAACGAUUUGGUGUCUACCACUCUUUUUCCCAAAUAGAUGGAUAUGAGUCGUAUAGCUCGACCAUUCGAGUAUUCGUCUUCCAUUCAAAAUACAUUAAUCACAUAUAACCCUUUUACAAUUAAUUGAAUGGAAAAUGAACAAUUUGAUGUCUACUACUAUUUUCAUUGAUUGCUUGGAUACGAGUCGUAUAGCUUGAGCAUCCGGGCAUUCACCAUUCACUCAAAAACAAACUUCAAUCCAUCAAACCUAUCUUUUUUCUUGCCUGUGCGAUCGAAACCUUUUCAAAAGAACACUGUUUAUUUUGUUAUACUGCGAUACAAACAAACGCUUAAGCCUCUAAUCGUGAGAAUACAAACAACGUUUAACCGCUAGAAUGUGAUCUAAACAUUCAUUCAAUAAAAUCAACCAACCAAUACGUAGUUUUUUACGAAAAACUAUGUAGCUUUGAAAUCCUCAUCACACCUGAGGAUACAUAUGAGCAAGACCCACAAUCUUGUCAAGCACCCUAAUAAAAACCUUUGUUUCCACCUUUUACUUUUCUCUCAAACUUUUAAAAAUUGAAGAAAACAAUAAACAUACACUAACAUUCUAUUCGUAAAUAUAACUAAAUGAUUCCUAUUGAGUACAAGGAAAGUGAUGGGUGCCAAUACCUUCCCCUCACAUAAUCGAACCUUGAACCUGAAUUUUGUUGCAACAACCAUUUUCUUUUUCUUUUAAGAGUUUUAUCGAUAUUUUCCAUUUCCUUUUGGAAUAAACAAAGUUAGGUGGCUAUUUUGUUUAUCAUCUCGAGCCUGCGAGUGCUCUAGGUCAUUUUUUGCACCGCGAUAGGUGGUCGCUACACACAAAACAUCAUGCUGGAACAUCUUAUUUCACAUGAUCAUUACUCCCCUGUUUUUUUGCCACAAAUUGGCAAAGUUAUGGAAAGAACCACAAACCAAGGUCACAACCAAAAGAACAAGCUUGACAGGAACAACAACCAACUAGACCAACACACAUCUCCAACCAAAGGACCUUGAAAAGGGAACAAGUAACUAAGGAUCACAAAAAUAGCAGUAGCAACAACAACAAGUUAAGGUCACAAAGCUCCAACAUUUCUCUAUCAAAAACCAGAUCAAUUUCAUCAACAUGUGCACAAAAGUGUAUCACAAUGUCCACCACAACUUUCCCAACAUUCAAUAUGUAACUCAAAGUCAAAACACUUGAGGCAACACCAAUCUCAUCAUCACAAAUAACAAUGUAUUUCUUUUGAACACUCAAAAUAUCACAUACUAGAGAGGGAACACAUAUAAGUGGUUGGAUGCCAUGAGACUCAAUAUGUUUAACCAAUUGAAAAAGAAAAUAUUCUCCUUAUUCCAAGGUAACAUAAGUUCCUAAUUGGUACAAAAAACCAGUGGUGCAUCAAUAGGCAUCUUAUGAUUGCAGACUUAUAAUAUUACCAAAACCAGAUUUAUCAAUAACAAGAACAUUGGGAGGACUAAUAUCUAAGACAUCUUUCCCAACAAACAACUCACAACUGAAAUUCAGCAACCCAUGAGGAAUACCAUCAUUUUUAACCACUAAUUCUUUCAUCAACUUCAGAUAACCAUAUCCACCAUUCAACAUAGUCUUCAAUAAUUGAGCAUCACUAAGAAGAUCCAUAAUUUCAUUAUACUUCAGUGUUUCAACAUAAUGUUUUUCUUCAUCUUCAUCUUUAGUUUCCUCUUCUUCCUCAUUUCCAUCUUCCUUUUUCUUGGAUGUAAUCUUGUCAAUAGAGAAAACCUUAUUAGACCCUGCAGACUUGCUUAUGCCCAAAUAACCAUUAAUAAUUGAAGGUAAAAACUUCACACACUUUCCGAUAUGAUACAUCUUUCUAUACUCUUUAUUUCCUUCAACAUUACACUCAAUAGUAAUGUUCACAGUGAAUUCCUUGACUAGAUUUUCAUAGCAAGGACCAUCGUCAGUUACAAUUUUCAUUAACCCAACUGCUUUCAGUAACUCCAUAAUCUAUUUACAAUCAAAAGCUUCUUUACCUAGUUCUUUUUCACCAACAAUCCUUCUUUGGAAAACAUGCGUCCACUUUUGAACACUUUUUUCAUAAUGAAAUGAAAUAUUAUCCCUGUGAGCAGAGGAUACAUUCACAAGAAUUCUCUUCCCACCAACCUUUCUCCUUACAAUGUGCACAAUAUCCUGGACAUCUUCUUCAGCAUCUGUCAGAGUCACUUGAGUGUACAAUCUUUCUCUUUAGAGACUUCUUCUCAACAUCUUUACUUUCCGCUGACUUUCCUUUUGGAUUUUUGUCCUUAUUAAUAUCAAUAUCCUUAGAUAUUGUCUUUAGAACAUGAACCGAUCCAAUCAUCUGAAGAGGUACAACAUUGAGUACCACAUCUUGUUCAUCAAGCUUGGCAACUUGGCCAUCCUUCUUCUGAGUUGGAAACUCAAUCACCAACAUGCCAUAUAGUUUAUCUGACACAUCCUAGUUGAUAUCUUCAUUACCAUCUUGAGAAUAUUUAAGCUUGACAAGAGAAGAAACACUUCUAGACUUACCAUUGGCCUUUCCUUUAAUUGUUAUGACUUUCAUACAAACUCCAUGAGCUUUUAUAACUACAACAUAUUUUUCAUGCUUUUUCUUAGAUGUCUACUUUGGAAUUCCAUAAUUAUUCAAGAAUUUCCUUGUUCAUAACAUCCUUUCAAAUUAACUUCAGACUUGUAGAGGAAAUUGCAGAAAUGUUGUUGACACCGGCACUAGCAUCCUGAUAGACUUUCACAUAAUCAUCCUUCUCAAUGACACCAUCCAUGUAAGUGACAUCAUUAUAAACAUCCUGAUUUACUUCCAUAUUCAAGUACCUAUUGAGGAAGGCACUUUUCACACCCAUAUGAUAAAGUGUGAACAUAAGACUACAAGACAAACCUAGCAACAUUUUGAUGGCCUCAAGAUGAGAAAUAUAGAUAAAAGCUUCAUCGAAGUCAACCCCUUUUUUUUGGAGCAUAGUCUUGUGCUAUAAGUUGUGCCUUCUUUCUAGUAAUAAUCUCAUUACUUUUCUUGUUUAGAGGCACCUCUAUGUCAUUCAAGUUAUCAUUAACAUCUUUUACUGCACGAGCAUUCUUUCUUCUUGAUGCAUAUUUUCUAUUCUUCUUAUUGUUAUUAACACCAUAAUCAUUGGCUACAAUAAUAUCAACCUAAACAUCAUCAUGGAAAUGAUCAUCAUCACUCACAAAAUUAUUUGUAAGGGUCACAUCAUCAUUCUUGUUAUGAAUUUGAAACUUUGUCUCCAACAUGUCAGACAGGACGUUUGACACAUCCUUAUAAAGGACGUUUUCACCAGAAACCAUAUCAGACUUGUUAAAAUAUGGAAUAUUAUGGGGAACAAUGUCUAGGACUUGUUUCUUGACAUACAACUUAUACUAAAAUUCAACACAUUAAGGGGAACCCCAAUAGGAAGAAUUGUGCCAUAAUCACUAAUCUUCUUUAGCUUCUUCUUCUAAACCAUAGUUGGUUGUUCAAUGUUGGGAGGGCCUCCGACCUGACCACCAGUCUUCCCUUCAAUGACAACUCCUUGCAUAAGUCUUAUAAAGUCCAUAAGUGAUAAUUUAGAAACACGAGUAAGAUGCUGAAGCAACCUAUAUGACAUCUUAGUUUGCUUCCCAACUUGACACAUGUUAUAAAUUUUACCUUCUUCAAUUUUGAGAUCAGACAUACACAUGACAAAUUUCUCUACAACAAAGUUCCUUGCACUCAUAAUCUUUCUAUGCUAUAACUUAGUUUAUGUAUCUAAAGUAUUAUCCAUGAUGUCAGGAGCAUGUUCUUCAACAUUCUUAUGGGAGGCACAAGAACUAUGAAUAAUAAUAGUAGGGUUAUCACACCUAGCUUGUUGAUGAUACCUAUGAGACUUCCCAUUCCACUGAGAAUACAUAUGUUGAUGUUGUGGUUGUCUGCCAUAUAAUUUACAACAGUACAGUGGAAUUGAGUAGAACAAAUUAAUGCAGUGGUAAUGGUGUUUGACACGAUGUUGAGACAUGUUACUUGACAUUGGGCAUCCUGUUUUCUGAAAAGGAGUAAAACACAUAUUAUUUGAAUUUGAUGGCUCAUCAGUAUAUAUAGCACCUUUCAUGUCUCUGAUGUGUGUAGUGAAAGUCACAAUAAUGUUUUCUUGAUUAGAUUCACCUUCCUCAUCAUUAAUGAUAUUGUAGAUUUUUCUUUGAUUCCUUGGAAAACUUAAGCAUUUAGCUUGAAUAUGUCCAUUUUUUUGCGUUUAAGACAUUGGGUCCAGUUGAGAUUUACACCAUCUAUUCCUUUACAAUGAAAGUUACACCUCUUGCAAUUGUGUUGUUGUUUGUCUUAAAAAUUUGUAGAGACAUUAUUCUCAUAUCUCAUAGCUAGUUUUCUCACGACUUUACCAAAGAUCUUAGCAAGCAUGAGAUUUUCUUCAGUAUCAUAAUCUACUCGGUCUUUAAAAUCUUCAUAAUUAUCUUUAACUCAAUUCUUUGGAGGAGUCUUAAUAUCAUUAAGAAUCUUUGGUUGAUGAAUUGCUCCUCUUUUAAAAUUUUCCAUCUUGAACAUAAUCAGAACCCUAGAACACACCCAAACAGAACAAGGUGCUUGCUCUGAUGCCGAUUAAAAUUUUGUUCUCAGGAGGACAAAUGUUAGACCAUAUGCCUAAGACAAUGUGUUCAACAUCUUAUACCAAAAUUGAUAGAUAUAAAGAACGCAAGAGAAUUGUUAACUCAGUUCAGUGCAACAACACCUAUAUUUGAGAGGCUUCCAACCCAAGAAAGGAAAUCCACUCUCAAUAGUAUUAGUACAAAGUGUCUUAGAUGAACACCCAUUGUUCAACUCCCCUCUUCUUAAUACUACCAGUGCCUUUAUAUUUAGGACUCUCCCUAAAUAUGAGAACCCCUAUCACUUUAUCUCAACCACUAACGAUAUUGAUCAAUACAAUAAUAAUGAAUUACAAUUCAACUAAUAAUUAACCUUUAUGCCUUGAAUACUCAAUUUAGACUUAUUAUAAAGACGUACAAAAACAACAAAUUACAAAGACUCAAAGAACCAAAUCCUAACACACUAGAUCUUUAAUAUAUGUGUUCACUUCAAAUGUUAGGUUUGAGUCUCCUUAAAUAACAAUGCAACUUUUAGGCUUUUCUCUAAUGACAUAAGAUUUGAUCACGUCCAGAUUUAUAGAGGAUUCUGUUUUGAUUUAUUUUUCAAAAACCUCAAACGAAAAGAUUUAAUUUAUUUUGAUUCAAAUUUAAAUAUCUAAAUAAUUAGAUUUGAUCUAAUUCAAUCUUCCAAACAAAUCUAAUCAACACAUUGCUAACAGAUAAUAACAAAUCUGAUUGAAACACCAACCAUAAUUUUCUCUCAAAAUAACAACAACCAUGGCCUGUUGACAAAGGCCAAAUGUUGCAUACGUGAUGGGACAUUUGGUAUGAGAUCUGUCAACGUAACAAAAUUCUGAAUCUUGAACAAAUCAAAUAAAAACUUUACUUGAUAUACAUCAUAAUUGCAACUUAUCAAGUAAAAGAUUCAGAAUUAAUCUCUUGCAAAAACUAAACCACGCUUUAAAUCAUCCUUAAUUGAGAUUGGAAAUUUCUUCAACAAGUGAAAAUCCAAAGCUUGUAAUUAAAACAAAUCCAAUAAAAUAUCUUCAUGUAUUAUUUAUUUAAUUAAAACUUCAAUCAAUAUCUUUGUAUAUCAAUUUCAACAAAUCUUAGAUUGAAUAAAACCGAACUAAAUCUUCCUUCAAAGCAUAUUCAAUUAAAUCUUUUUCUUUAAUGCAAAUCCAAUCAAACCAAAUCUUCUUAUUUGAAUAAAAUAGUUUCCAAAUUGAUUUGGAUUACCAAGCUUCUUCCAAAAGAAAACUUAUGUAUCUUCUGAAGAAAUAAACACAAAAACAAAUUUGAAGAAAAUCUGACCUUAAUUCGUACGCUAAGAUGUCACAAACAUGUGCUGAACAUUUUACUCAACAACCUGCUUACAACCAAAUAUUUCUGUCAAACACUUUAGCAGAAACUGGGACUGAACAAAUCUUCUUAGAAACAAACACAAUCACACUCAAAUUUUCUCAUGAAAUCUAGCUAACAGACUGAGGCUAGAUGUUGCACCUCAUGUUUGAACAUCUGGUCCCACAUGAUGCAUCUUCACAAUUAACAUCUUGUACUACCCAUGCUAUUUUACCAAAAUCAGCCAAUCAAAAGAACAACAAAAUGAAUAAGUGAAGCUUGUUCGAUUGUGCUUAAGUGCAAUAUUGUGUACUUAUGUUCUAUAUGAAGCAUUGUAAGGUACAUUGUACUUAAGUGCAAUGCAGAACAUCAUAAGGUACAUUGUUCUUAAAUGGAAUACAAAACAUAUAAUGUACAAUGCGCUUGAAUGAAAUAUGGAACACCGUAAGGUACGAUACACCAAGUGAAAUACAGUACACCUUGAGACACGAUGCACUUAAGUGGGAUUGUUGAGCUUGCAACCUAUAUAAGCAUUAUAUAAAUAUAACUCUUACGUUGAAGUUUUCUCAUUUGAUGAAAUUCAAUUUAUGAAACUCUAGUUGUGCUCUCUCUCUCUCUCUCUCUCUCUCUCAAAGUUUUCAUUCAUAGAACCUAACAAUGAGAUUGAAGACACUAUGUUCACGUGGACUGAGUAGAGCCGUUGUUGUUCAACGCUCGUGAUCGUUCUUCUAAUUCUGCAUCAAUAGUUAAUCGCCACAAGAGGUAAUCACUCUAUCAUUGAUCAUGCUUAUUCUUAAGGAUUGACUUAAGAGAAAUUUUUUGUUUUUGCAUUGCGUUUCAUAUCGUAAUUUCACUUGAGAUGCGCGGAGGAAUAGUCAAAUAGACAAUAAUGACAUUGUGAUGGUGAUGAGUAUGGUAAGGAAGAAGCUACUAUAUGACUGGUGGUUCCAAAUGUGAGACAUGAAGAUGUUGUGCAGAAGUUAGUAGCGAUAAUGGAGUUUUCUUCUAAGGAUGAUAUUUUCUUAUUUUUUAUGUGUUGAUGGAACAUGACCCUCAUCGUGAAGAUAGCCUAUGAUGACCUCGAGCUUUUUUUGGGUUGAGCUAAAAAAAUGAGUGGUAAACAAGCUUUAAUAUUAUUAUCUAAGUUUGGUUGAUUAUAAGGUUUUCGAAUCGUCAUGAUUAAUGCAAAACUUUUUUAUUUUUAAAAAGCAUUAUAAAUGUGACCCCUUAAAUAUUGUUUUUUAAAUGACCUUCUGUGGCCACUAGUACCAUGUCCUCAUCAUCAUCCACUUGAAUGAAGACACAACCUCCCUAAUUGAAUUGACUUUAGAUUUAAUUAAAAAAAAUAUGCGCUUUUAAACUUAUUAAUAAAAAAAAGUAAAAUUAUUGAAAUAAAUUUCUUUAAUGUAAGAUCAUUUUAAAUUUUUGGAUUCUAUGUAAAAAUUUCAAUUUAGCGAAACUUCGACAAUCACAAUAUAUAAAUUAUAUUUAACCAUAACUUAGUUAUGAUAAAAAAUAUAAAAAUGUUUUAACCGACUCUAGAAUGAGGACAAAAUACUAACCAGAGUUAAUAUACCAUUAGAAAUAAUAAUAUUUUCUGACACUCUCAUUAUCUUUUCUUAAAAGUGUUCUUCUUGAACAAAAUUAAAAAAUAAAAAUAUUUUCACAAAAUAACCGAGGAGAUAUCAACUUCUCCAAUAGUAACUAUGUAUAUAUUAUUUUAUUUAAUAAUAAAUAUAAAUAUUAUAUUUGGUCAAUCUAACUCUCAAAUUAAAAAUUCUUAUUGAAUAAAUUAAUUAUUGUAUUUUUCACAAAAAUUUCAACUUUAUUCAAUAUUUCAAUCAUACAUAUAAAACCUUAAAGAUACAACUAAAUAUUCAACAUUCAAUUAUAUAACUAUAAUUUUUAAUUAUAAGGCUUAAUAAUUAACAUAAACUAUAAAUUUAAUAUUUAGAUUAUUCAAAUAUAAUAUUUAUAGUAAAUCAUUAAACAAAAUAAUUCUACACAAAGCUUCUUCUAGGAUAUGUUAAUCUUUUAUGAGUUGUUAAUAUCGUCACCAUUCAAAGUGGAGUGUGCUAUCCACAAGUCCAUCAACACGUGUAACAAACACUUCAAUUUUCUCUUGUUAUCUCAUCCGCCACCAACCCAUUUCAAACCCAAAAACUUUUGAACACAAACAGAAAUUCAUACCCUAUUCAAUGGAAUCUGUUCUGAGCCAAACUGGUGUAGUAUUUUGCCAUAAGCCACGUUUUGGUGAGACAAAAAAUGGAUUCUUAGGCACCAAUUUCAACAACAAUUGUUCCUUUGGUAGGGGAGUUAGGAGUGUGGUGGUUGUGAAAGCGGAAGCAGGGGGUGUGAGUAGUAUAAAUCCAGAUGUAAGGAAGAAUGAAGAAAAGGUUGUUGAUGCUGUUGUGGUUAAUGAACUCUCCAAGCCUGUUACCCCUUAUUGCAGGUAAAGGUUUUGGAAGUUUUUUGUUUCUUGUUAAUUGUAUCAUUAUGAAUCUUAAUUAGUGUGAUGUUAAUAUGUUACUAGUGAAAUUUUCAGUUUUAUUGGUUGAAAUUUGGGAUUUAGGGUUUGAUUUUUUUUUUUUUUUGGCUUUGGGAAUUAGGGUUUGAUUUGGGGAUUUUGUUUUGGCUUUGGAUGUAGGGUUUGAUUUGGGGAUUUUGUUGGGUUUGGGAUUUAGGGUUUGGAUACAAAUUUAGAAGACUAAAAAUUUGUUGAGAUAUUUAAAAGAACUGAAACAUAUUUAAUUGAAAUUAGAUGAAUAUUUGUGAAGGGUAGUUUGUGAAUGUUAUUGUUAUUUGAUUAGUCAAGAAACAUGCUUUUCAUGUUUUGAAGUUAUGACAAUAAUUCAUUAAGGCUAUAUUUGGAUAUUAUAAAAUGAACAAAUUGGAAUGAAAUGAAAUUACCGGAUUUGAAUGAAAUGGAAUUGAACCGGGCGGAAUGUAACCGUAAAAGAAUGGAACUGUAACAUAGUGGAGCGGAAUGAAAUGGAAUCGAAAAGUAAAGCUUUUAAGUCUUUUAUCAAAUGGAAAGUCUUGAAUUUUCCUUGCGUAUAGUUUUCUUAAUUUUAUGUACAUGUUUAAAUUACAAAAGUUCUUAAUCUUUUUCUGGCUUUUUUGGGGGUGCUUUGUUGCAGAUGUUGGAGAUCAGGAACUUUUCCUUUAUGUGAUGGCAGCCAUGUAAAGCACAACAAGGCCACUGGAGAUAAUGUUGGGCCUCUUCUUUUGAAAAAGUAAAAUUAAGGAUUUUCACUUGUGUUAUUUCAGAGAAAUUAAAUUUUCAGAGGUU